CAGCAGCAGCCGCGGUAAUACCGAGGGUGCGAGCGUUAAUCGGAUUUACUGGGCGUAAAGCGUGCGUAGGCGGCUUCUUAAGUCGGAUGUGAAAUCCCUGAGCUUAACUUAGGAAUUGCAUUCGAUACUGGGAAGCUAGAGUAUGGGAGAGGAUGGUAGAAUUCCAGGUGUAGCGGUGAAAUGCGUAGAGAUCUGGAGGAAUACCGAUGGCGAAGGCAGCCAUCUGGCCUAAUACUGACGCUGAGGUACGAAAGCAUGGGGAGCAAACAGGAUUAGAUACCCCAGUAGUCCCUGUCUCUUAUAC
RNAcentral lists this ribosomal RNA (304 nucleotides) under uncultured bacterium. RNAcentral describes it as "partial 16S ribosomal RNA". It matches the Rfam family "Bacterial small subunit ribosomal RNA", at positions 506 to 807 of the family's 1533-position model. The record is from RNAcentral.